CCUGGUGGCUCAGACGGUAAAGCAUCUGCCUGCAAUGCGGGAGACCCAGGUUCGAUCCCUGGGUCAGGA
This 69-nucleotide transfer RNA is filed under the name Odocoileus virginianus texanus. It matches the Rfam family "tRNA". Rfam says of the family: Transfer RNA (tRNA) molecules are approximately 80 nucleotides in length. Their secondary structure includes four short double-helical elements and three loops (D, anti-codon, and T loops). Further hydrogen bonds mediate the characteristic L-shaped molecular structure. tRNAs have two regions of fundamental functional importance: the anti-codon, which is responsible for specific mRNA codon recognition, and the 3' end, to which the tRNAs corresponding amino acid is attached (by aminoacyl-tRNA synthetases). tRNAs cope with the degeneracy of the genetic code in two manners: having more than one tRNA (with a specific anti-codon) for a particular amino acid; and 'wobble' base-pairing, i.e. permitting non-standard base-pairing at the 3rd anti-codon position. Lineage: Eukaryota; Metazoa; Chordata; Mammalia; Artiodactyla; Cervidae. The record is from Rfam by way of RNAcentral. RNAcentral also lists the same sequence under 1 other name.